CGUGUAGGCGGUUCAGAAAGCGGCGUGUGAAAGCCCGGAGCUCAACUCCGGAACUGCAUGCCGAACUCCUGGACUAGAGGACGAGAGGGGGGUGCGGAACUCUAGGUGUAGCGGUGAAAUGCGUAGAUAUCUAGAGGAACGCCGGUGGCGAAAGCGGCACCCUGGCUCGUAUCUGACGCUGAGGCGCGAAAGCGUGGGUAGCAAACA
RNAcentral lists this ribosomal RNA (207 nucleotides) under uncultured bacterium. RNAcentral describes it as "partial 16S ribosomal RNA". It matches the Rfam family "Bacterial small subunit ribosomal RNA", at positions 568 to 774 of the family's 1533-position model. The record is from RNAcentral.